RNAcentral lists this ribosomal RNA (406 nucleotides) under unidentified. RNAcentral's name for it is "Paramicrosphaeropsis iranica partial large subunit ribosomal RNA". It matches the Rfam family "Eukaryotic large subunit ribosomal RNA", at positions 183 to 593 of the family's 3401-position model. The record is from RNAcentral.
AAGUUCCUUGGAACAGGACGUCACAGAGGGUGAGAAUCCCGUACGUGGUCGCUAGCCUUUACCGUGUAAAGCCCCUUCGACGAGUCGAGUUGUUUGGGAAUGCAGCUCUAAAUGGGAGGUAAAUUUCUUCUAAAGCUAAAUACUGGCCAGAGACCGAUAGCGCACAAGUAGAGUGAUCGAAAGAUGAAAAGCACUUUGGAAAGAGAGUUAAAAAGCACGUGAAAUUGUUGAAAGGGAAGCGCUUGCAGCCAGACUUGCCUGUAGUUGCUCAUCCGGGUUUCUACCCGGUGCACUCUUCUAUAGGCAGGCCAGCAUCAGUUUGGGCGGUUGGAUAAAGGUCUCUGUCAUGUACCUCUCUUCGGGGAGAACUUAUAGGGGAGACGACAUGCAACCAGCCUGGACUGAG